RNAcentral lists this ribosomal RNA (1346 nucleotides) under uncultured bacterium. RNAcentral's name for it is "bacterial SSU rRNA". It matches the Rfam family "Bacterial small subunit ribosomal RNA", at positions 28 to 1381 of the family's 1533-position model. The record is from RNAcentral.
GACGAACGCUGGCGGCGUGCUUAACACAUGCAAGUCGAACGGAAAGGCCCUGCUUUUGUGGGGUGCUCGAGUGGCGAACGGGUGAGUAACACGUGAGUAACCUGCCCUUGACUUUGGGAUAACUUCAGGAAACUGGGGCUAAUACCGGAUAGGAGCUCCUGCUGCAUGGUGGGGGUUGGAAAGUUUCGGCGGUUGGGGAUGGACUCGCGGCUUAUCAGCUUGUUGGUGGGGUAGUGGCUUACCAAGGCUUUGACGGGUAGCCGGCCUGAGAGGGUGACCGGCCACAUUGGGACUGAGAUACGGCCCAGACUCCUACGGGAGGCAGCAGUGGGGAAUAUUGCACAAUGGGCGGAAGCCUGAUGCAGCAACGCCGCGUGCGGGAUGACGGCCUUCGGGUUGUAAACCGCUUUCGCCUGUGACGAAGCGUGAGUGACGGUAAUGGGUAAAGAAGCACCGGCUAACUACGUGCCAGCAGCCGCGGUGAUACGUAGGGUGCGAGCGUUGUCCGGAUUUAUUGGGCGUAAAGGGCUCGUAGGUGGUUGAUCGCGUCGGAAGUGUAAUCUUGGGGCUUAACCCUGAGCGUGCUUUCGAUACGGGUUGACUUGAGGAAGGUAGGGGAGAAUGGAAUUCCUGGUGGAGCGGUGGAAUGCGCAGAUAUCAGGAGGAACACCAGUGGCGAAGGCGGUUCUCUGGGCCUUUCCUGACGCUGAGGAGCGAAAGCGUGGGGAGCGAACAGGCUUAGAUACCCUGGUAGUCCACGCUGUAAACGGUGGGUACUAGGUGUGGGGUCCAUUCCACGGGUUCCGUGCCGUAGCUAACGCUUUAAGUACCCCGCCUGGGGAGUACGGCCGCAAGGCUAAAACUCAAAGGAAUUGACGGGGCCCCGCACAAGCGGCGGAGCAUGCGGAUUAAUUCGAUGCAACGCGUAGAACCUUACCUGGGUUUGACAUGGAUCGGGAGCGCUCAGAGAUGGGUGUGCCUCUUUUGGGGUCGGUUCACAGGUGGUGCAUGGCUGUCGUCAGCUCGUGUCGUGAGAUGUUGGGUUAAGUCCCGCAACGAGCGCAACCCUUGUUCACUGUUGCCAGCACGUUAUGGUGGGGACUCAGUGGAGACCGCCGGGGUCAACUCGGAGGAAGGUGGGGAUGACGUCAAGUCAUCAUGCCCCUUAUGUCCAGGGCUUCACGCAUGCUACAAUGGCUGGUACAGAGAGUGGCGAGCCUGUGAGGGUGAGCGAAUCUCGGAAAGCCGGUCUCAGUUCGGAUUGGGGUCUGCAACUCGACCUCAUGAAGUCGGAGUCGCUAGUAAUCGCAGAUCAGCAACGCUGCGGUGAAUACGUUCCCAGGGCU